CAAUAGCGUAUAUUAAAGUUGUUGCAGUUAAAAAGCUCGUAGUUGGAUUUGUGGUGUACUUUGGCGGCCCGUCACACUGUGAUGGAGCUUGCUGAAGUCGCCAUCCUUGGGUGGAUCCUGUGUGGCAUUAAGUUGUCGUGCAGGGGAUGCCCAUCGUUUACUGUGAAAAAAUUAGAGUGUUCAAAGCAGGCUUAUGCCGUUGAAUAUAUUAGCAUGGAAUAAUAAGAUAGGACCUUGGUACUAUUUUGUUGGUUUGCGCACCAAGGUAAUGAUUAAUAGGGACAGUUGGGGGUAUUCGUAUUUCAUUGUCAGAGGUGAAAUUCUUGGAUUUUUGAAAGACGAACUACUGCGAAAGCAUUUACCAAGGAUGUUUUCAUUA
RNAcentral lists this ribosomal RNA (379 nucleotides) under uncultured eukaryote. RNAcentral describes it as "partial 18S ribosomal RNA". It matches the Rfam family "Eukaryotic small subunit ribosomal RNA", at positions 592 to 975 of the family's 1831-position model. The record is from RNAcentral.